RNAcentral lists this ribosomal RNA (466 nucleotides) under uncultured bacterium. RNAcentral's name for it is "bacterial SSU rRNA". It matches the Rfam family "Bacterial small subunit ribosomal RNA", at positions 331 to 794 of the family's 1533-position model. The record is from RNAcentral.
CCAGACUCCUACGGGAGGCAGCAGUGAGGAAUAUUGGUCAAUGGCCGCAGGGCUGAACCAGCCAAGUCGCGUGAGGGAUGACGGUCCUAUGGAUUGUAAACCUCUUUUGUCAGGGAGCAAAGGGCGCCACGUGUGGCGUUUUGCGAGUACCUGAAGAAAAAGCAUCGGCUAACUCCGUGCCAGCAGCCGCGGUAAUACGUAGGGUGCGAGCGUUAAUCGGAAUUACUGGGCGUAAAGGGUGUGCAGGCGGUUUUGCAAGAUGGAUGUGAAAGCCCCGGGCUUAACCUGGGAAAGCCAUACAUGACUGCAAGACUAGAGUGCGUCAGAGGGGGGUGGAAUUCCAAGUGUAGCAGUGAAAUGCGUAGAUAUUUGGAAGAACACCGAUGGCGAAGGCAGCCCCCUGGGACGCAACUGACGCUCAUACACGAAAGCGUGGGGAGCAAACAGGAUUAGAUACCCCCGUACU